UAGGGAAUCUUCCACAAUGGGCGAAAGCCUGAUGGAGCAACGCCGCGUGUGUGAUGAAGGGUUUCGGCUCGUAAAACACUGUUGUAAGAGAAGAAUGACAUUGAGAGUAACUGUUCAAUGUGUGACGGUAUCUUACCAGAAAGGAACGGCUAAAUACGUGCAAG
Molecule: ribosomal RNA, 164 nt
Filed under: uncultured bacterium
Lineage: Bacteria
Description: partial 16S ribosomal RNA
Rfam family: Bacterial small subunit ribosomal RNA
Source: RNAcentral